CCAAGGGUUCCAAAGCCAUGGUCCUUCAUGCUUGCAUGAAGGGACAUGGCCUUGGAACCCGGAAAACAUGAGAAAGAAGCCCGAAAGGGCGGAGUUCGAAUGUUUUGAGAAUUGCGGGAGCAUGAAAUGCGGAGCAAUUCGCAGGUAUC
RNAcentral lists this small RNA (149 nucleotides) under uncultured Blautia sp. RNAcentral describes it as "Clostridiales-1 RNA". It matches the Rfam family "Clostridiales-1 RNA". The record is from RNAcentral. Lineage: Bacteria; Bacillati; Bacillota; Clostridia; Lachnospirales; Lachnospiraceae.